RNAcentral lists this ribosomal RNA (253 nucleotides) under uncultured bacterium. RNAcentral's name for it is "partial 16S ribosomal RNA". It matches the Rfam family "Bacterial small subunit ribosomal RNA", at positions 524 to 776 of the family's 1533-position model. The record is from RNAcentral.
UACGUAGGGGGCGAGCGUUAUCCGGAUUCACUGGGUGUAAAGGGAGCGUAGACGGCCAUGCAGGCCAGGGGUGAAAGCCCGGGGCCCAACCCCGGGACUGCCCUUGGAACUGCAUGGCUGGAGUGCGGGAGGGGCAGGCGGAAUUCCUGGUGUAGCGGUGAAAUGCGUAGAUAUCAGGAGGAACACCGGCGGCGAAGGCGGCCUGCUGGACUGCGACUGACGUUGAGGCUCGAAAGCGUGGGGAGCGAACAGG